CUUUCAUAAAGUAGCAGAGAGAAAAAUGAGACAGAAAACUACAAAUUAAUAUGGAAAAGCAGGCAUCCUCCUCUCAGUACAUCUUUUUCAAAUUAAAUAAUCAUAAUCUACUCUAUUUGGUAUCAUAUUCUUAAAUCAAGAAUACAUUUAUUUGGUCCUUAUGAUAUUAAGGAAAUACUUGGCAAUGUCCAAUCACUGUCUAGUUUGCCAGUUACUUUCACAGCUUCUAUUAAGAAAAAGCCAUUAGUCAAAAUACAAAGUAUUAAAGCCAGGGUCUUUACUGAGAGCAUUCUUUAACAUAUAUUGGGGCCUGGGUAUAUGUGCUAUAUACCAUAUGGUAAAUUUUUUUUAUAGGUCAGGUCCUGUGUUAAAAGCUUGUACAAGCCUUCUGAAAUUACUUCAAGUUCAAUUGUGUGAAGAGAAUCUGUGUGUUUCCUUUGGGAAAUUUUGGUAAGAGGUGAGUAAAGUUAUGCAAAGUACAUUAUUUUUGAGACACAAGUAAAUAAACAGAAAUCCACCCAUCCUUAUUUUCUGCCCAUAGCAUAAGCAGCUGAGAGAGAAGGUAAAAGAGCAGAGUGAGAGGGGUGAUCAAAGGUGAAGAAGGGCUGCCAUCUGAGGAAGAGUCACAGAGUCUGGGACUCUUCAGACUGGAAUGGAGUUGGUGAUUGAGGCUUCCUGGUGUGGUUCAUUACAUGGCGUGGAGCUCAGUGUACAACAGGCCUGAAUGCUGAGAAGGAAACUCCUCUGAGGUAGAAAAUAGCACAGUGGAGAUGAUCAUAUUGUCAGCAGACACACAGGAGUCACACUAUUCACAGAAGAAACCUUGAGAGGUUUCUGAAAAUGCCUGACACCUCAAGUAGGAAGUCUCCAGAGACCACAGAAAUCCUUAAAAUGGCUGAAGAGUCCUCAUCAAUGGAGGAAAGCCCUAGGCACUUGGUGUAUUUGAGCUCAUCUGUGGACAGCAACGCUGGUGCACCUGGCCUACAUCUCCCAAGAGUCUCGUGCAGAUUGGAACAGGAGCACAGCACUCUGUGAAGGAGGCCAGAGACACAUUUUCACAUGGUAACUGUGUAAGGACACAGCUGCUUGGCUCAGGUGCAGCAUCUAUUUGCCCUCAGUGCUGUCAGCACUGGGAACAGGAAGAAAGAGUUCGGGAG
RNAcentral lists this long non-coding RNA (1157 nucleotides) under Zonotrichia albicollis (white-throated sparrow). Its description in RNAcentral is "lncRNA (ENSZALG00000017322.1)". The record is from RNAcentral. Lineage: Eukaryota; Metazoa; Chordata; Aves; Passeriformes; Passerellidae.